This 497-nucleotide ribosomal RNA is filed under the name uncultured bacterium. RNAcentral's name for it is "partial 16S ribosomal RNA". It matches the Rfam family "Bacterial small subunit ribosomal RNA", at positions 28 to 507 of the family's 1533-position model. The record is from RNAcentral.
GAUGAACGCUGGCGGCGUGCCUAAUACAUGCAAGUCGAGCGAACGGACGAGAAGCUUGCUUCUCUGAUGUUAGCGGCGGACGGGUGAGUAACACGUGGAUAACCUACCUAUAAGACUGGGAUAACUUCGGGAAACCGGAGCUAAUACCGGCUGAUAUUUUGAACCGCAUGGUUCAAAAGUGAAAGACGCUCUUGCUGUCACUUAUAGAUGGAUCCGCGCUGCAUUAGCUAGUUGGUAAGGUAACGGCUUACCAAGGCAACGAUGCAUAGCCGACCUGAGAGGGUGAUCGGCCACACUGGAACUGAGACACGGUCCAGACUCCUACGGGAGGCAGCAGUAGGGAAUCUUCCGCAAUGGGCGAAAGCCUGACGGAGCAACGCCGCGUGAGUGAUGAAGGUCUUCGGAUCGUAAAACUCUGUUAUUAGGGAAGAACAUAUGUGUAAGUAACUGUGCACAUCUUGACGGUACCUAAUCAGAAAGCCACGGCUAACUACGUG